RNAcentral lists this ribosomal RNA (561 nucleotides) under uncultured Glomeromycotina. RNAcentral describes it as "SSU rRNA". It matches the Rfam family "Eukaryotic small subunit ribosomal RNA", at positions 548 to 1114 of the family's 1831-position model. Lineage: Eukaryota; Fungi; Glomeromycota. The record is from RNAcentral.
UUGGAGGGCAAGUCUGGUGCCAGCAGCCGCGGUAAUUCCAGCUCCAAUAGCGUAUAUUAAAGUUGUUGCAGUUAAAAAGCUCGUAGUUGAAUUUCGGGGUUCUACCGUUGGUCGGGCUAUUGUCUGUACUGGCGUGUAGAAUUUCUACCUUCUGGGGAACUAUCAUGUUAUUAAUUUAGCGUGGUAGGAAACCAGGACCUUUACCUUGAAAAAAUUAGAGUGUUCAAAGCAGGCUUAUGUCUGAAUACAUUAGCAUGGAAUAAUAAAAUAGGACGGUGGUCCUGUUUUGUUGGUUUCUGAAUCACCGUAAUGAUUAAUAGGGAUAGUUGGGGGCAUUAGUAUUCAAUUGUCAGAGGUGAAACUCUUGGAUUUAUUGAAGACUAACUACUGCGAAAGCAUUUGCCAAGGAUGUUUUCAUUAAUCAAGAACGAAAGUUGGGGGAUCGAAGACGAUCAGAUACCGUCGUAGUCUUAACCAUAAACUAUGCCGACUAGGGAUCGGACGAUGUUAACUUUUCUUGACUCGUUCGGCGCCUUACGGGAAACCAAAGUGUUUGGGUUC